GCCCAGGUAGCUCAACUGGUAGAGCGAAACUUUGAAGGUGUUUAGGUUAUAAGUUCAAAUCUUAUCUUGGGCA
Plenodomus lindquistii is the source of this 73-nucleotide non-coding RNA. The record is from the annotation of a GenBank genome assembly. Lineage: Eukaryota; Fungi; Ascomycota; Dothideomycetes; Pleosporales; Leptosphaeriaceae.